GUGUGUGAAGAAGGCCCUAGGGUUGUAAAGCACUUUAAGUUGGGAAGAAAAGUUAUUGGUUAAUACCCAAUGACCGUGACAUUACCAUCAGAAUAAGGACCGGCUAACUCCGUGCCAGCAGCCGCGGUAAUACGGAGGGUCCAAGCGUUAAUCGGAAUUACUGGGCGUAAAGCGCGCGUAGGCGGUUUAAUAAGUUGUAUGUGAAAGCCCUGGGCUCAACCUAGGAACUGCAUACAAAACUAUUAAGCUUGAGGACGAGAGAGGAGAGUAGAAUUUCAGGUGUAGCGGUGAAAUGCGUAGAUAUCUGAAGGAAUACCAAUGGCGAAGGCAGCUCUCUGGCUCGUUUCUGACGCUAAGGUGCGAAAGCGUGGGUAGCAAACAGGAUUAGAUACCCUGGUAGUCCACGCCGUAAACGAUGAUAACUAGCCGUUGGGCAGAUUUAACUGUUCAGUGGCACAGCUAACGCAUUAAGUUAUCCGCCUGGGGAGUACGGCCGCAAGGCUAAAACUCAAAUGAAUUGACGGGGACCCGCACAAGUAGUGGAGCAUGUGGUUUAAUUCGAUGCAACGCGAAGAACCUUACCAACCUUUGAAAUCCAGAGAAGUCACCAGAGAUGGAGAUGUGCCUUCGGGAACUCUGUGACAGGUGUUGCAUGGCUGUCGUCAGCUCGUGUCGUGAGAUGUAUGGUUAAGUCCAGUAACGAGCGCAACCCCUAUCCUUAUUUGCCAGCGCGUAAUGGCGGGAACUAUAGGGAGACUGCCGGUCAAAAACCGGAGGAAGGCGGGGACGAGGUCAAGUCAUCAUGGCCCUUAUAGGUUGGGCUACACACGUGCUACAAUGGGAUGUACAGAGGGUUGCGAAAGCGUGAGCUGGAGCCAAACCCUUAAAGCAUUUCGUAGUCCGGAUUGGAGUCUGCAACUCGACUCCAUGAAGUCGGAAUCACUAGUAAUCGCGAAUCAGAAUGUCGCGGUGAAUACGUUCUCGGGCCUUGUACACACCGCCCGUCACAUCAUGGAAGUGGGUUGCACCAGAAGUGGUUAGUCUAACCUUCGGGAAGACGAUCACCACGGUGUGAUUCAUGACUGGGAUGAAGUCGUAACAAGGUAGCCCUAGGGGAACCUGGGGCUG
Molecule: ribosomal RNA, 1128 nt
Filed under: marine metagenome
Description: bacterial SSU rRNA
Rfam family: Bacterial small subunit ribosomal RNA
Source: RNAcentral